UCCAAAGCAGUCUGAAUCCCUGUCCUGCAUUGACGAUGAACAUGCGGCACAAAGUCUGCAGUUGGGGAAAGAAUCACACCUCAUGAUCACUUGAAAUGCCAUCAGUACAUUUUGUUGAAUUGUUUCAUUCCCUGUCAUCAAAAGCCAUUCCAUACACAUUCUGAUUCGUGAACAUCACCGGAGGAGGAUAGGAUCUGAGAAGGGAAAACAAGGCAUCUGAUGCAUACCACUCCUUGCACAUCAAUGAUGGUCGUGCUCUGGUCGAUGUGCCGUUUUGCUGCAAUCGAACAGGCAGGAAACUUGACGACGAAGGUCCUCUCAAACUCCUUCACAUGGCCGGCCUUCCUUAUCGACUCCAUGGUGGCCUUGCGGGUAGUAUUCCAAGACUUCCCCGAGUUCCUUGAAUUCAAAAUCCUAGU
Non-coding RNA from Musa acuminata subsp. malaccensis (wild Malaysian banana), 419 nucleotides. The record is from RefSeq and is a predicted model, not a curated record. NCBI's taxonomy places the organism in Eukaryota, Viridiplantae, Streptophyta, Magnoliopsida, Zingiberales, Musaceae.